AACUAAAUAUGUCUGAUAAUAUGAGAUCCAGCCAACUUUAAUACAUAUUUGUUUUGUACUUGACUGUGACGCCCACAGGCGUCGAAUGUUAUUUCAAUGAGGAAUACUGUGCUCCAACGUAUUGUUUUCUAUCGAAGGGACGUGGAAAAUCGAAAUACCUCAGCACUGGCUGUAACUUUAUUCAGCCAUUAGCGUCCGCAUUGAUCAGUGUUGAAAUUCUACGCAGAACCAAGGAGGGCACCUACACGAAUAUGAAUUUGAAAGUGGAAACGAGUCUAUGCAAAUUGGGUGACGUAAAAGGUGGAAAUGGAAUUAUCAAUAAUCUCAUGGGUUUGAGUAUGAAAAGCUUGAGCCGCUUGAAGUGUCCGUUACAGGGCAACGUUACCAUAACAAGAAUGCCGCUGAUGAUUUUUCUUGUGCAGGGCCUGCUUCCCGAUGCGGAUUAUAAAUUAUUUGCCAAAGUUUUCAGGGGCGUUGAAUCAAUAUUACAAUUGAAUCUCUCUGUUAAGGUUACUUCAGCCAAGCGUUGAA
Molecule: long non-coding RNA, 531 nt
Organism: Rhagoletis pomonella (apple maggot)
Lineage: Eukaryota; Metazoa; Arthropoda; Insecta; Diptera; Tephritidae
Exons: 4
Source: RefSeq, a predicted model, not a curated record